GACGAACGCUGGCGGCGUGCCUAAUACAUGCCAGUUGAGCGCUGAAGGUUGGUACUUGUACCAACUGGAUGAGCAGCGAACGGGUGAGUAACGCGUGGGGAAUCUGCCUUUGAGCGGGGGACAACAUUUGGAAACGAAUGCUAAUACCGCAUAAAAACUUUAAACACAAGUUUUAAGUUUGAAAGAUGCAAUUGCAUCACUCAAAGAUGAUCCCGCGUUGUAUUAGCUAGUUGGUGAGGUAAAGGCUCACCAAGGCGAUGAUACAUAGCCGACCUGAGAGGGUGAUCGGCCACAUUGGGACUGAGACACGGCCCAAACUCCUACGGGAGGCAGCAGUAGGGAAUCUUCGGCAAUGGACGAAAGUCUGACCGAGCAACGCCGCGUGAGUGAAGAAGGUUUUCGGAUCGUAAAACUCUGUUGGUAGAGAAGAACGUUGGUGAGAGUGGAAAGCUCAUCAAGUGACGGUAACUACCCAGAAAGGGACGGCGAACUACGU
RNAcentral lists this ribosomal RNA (496 nucleotides) under uncultured bacterium. RNAcentral's name for it is "partial 16S ribosomal RNA". It matches the Rfam family "Bacterial small subunit ribosomal RNA", at positions 28 to 506 of the family's 1533-position model. The record is from RNAcentral.